RNAcentral lists this small RNA (91 nucleotides) under Klebsiella pneumoniae. Its description in RNAcentral is "partial RtT sRNA". It matches the Rfam family "RtT RNA", at positions 42 to 130 of the family's 130-position model. Rfam says of the family: This family represents a bacterial cis-regulatory element known as RtT RNA. The exact function of RtT is unknown although it is thought that it may be involved in changing the cellular response in relation to amino acid starvation. The record is from RNAcentral. Lineage: Bacteria; Pseudomonadati; Pseudomonadota; Gammaproteobacteria; Enterobacterales; Enterobacteriaceae.
UUCGACUCGAGCGAAGCGAGAGAACGUUGCCGCAGGCAACGGCCCGAAGGGCGAGGCGCUUUAGCGCCGAGUAAUCCUUCCCCCACCACUG